Gallus gallus (chicken) is the source of this 3029-nucleotide long non-coding RNA. NCBI's taxonomy places the organism in Eukaryota, Metazoa, Chordata, Aves, Galliformes, Phasianidae. The record is from Ensembl.
CGAGCCCCUAGGCAGCGGAGCCGGACGGGAGAGCCCCGCCGCCCGCCCCGCCGAGGGCCCCCGCUCCCGGUUGGGGACGGCGACGUCGGGAGCUCUGGCCGCGUUUUGCCCGUUCCUGGGGAUAACUCGGCCGGGGGCUGUCAUGUGGCCAGAUGGCGCUGCUGGUGCCGCCUAACAGAUCCAGCCUCGGGACGGGGGGCCUGAGGGACACAGCAGCAUCCUCAGGGGAUGCACGCAGCACAGGAAGGGCCCAGAUCCACAUACCGCAGGUACAGACCUGCUUCCGUGCCAGCCUUGGGAAAUAUGCGUGUGGCUUUUCACAGAAUCACAGAAUCACGAAGGUUGGAAAAGACCUCUAAGAUGAUCUGGUCCAACCACCAACGCGUCCCCACCAUGCCCACUGACCGCGUCCCUCAGUGCCACAUCGAUGCAUUUCUUGAACACCUCCAGGGACGGUGAUUCCAUAACCCGGAUUUCCCCACGUAAGCUACAGAAUUUGCUGGAAAUUGCUUCACUUUUUGCAAGCUCUGAGGCUCAGCCUUAGGGCUGGGAUGCGUGUUUGCUCUGCCGCCUGGGACAAGAAAGGAAACAUCUGUAGGCCUCAUGGUCUCACUCGAGAAGACACACCUGGGAGAACUGCAGCCACUGCUUCCCAUGGGGACAGGUGUGGCGGCGGGGUGAUGCUAAGGAGCUGCCUUCCAAAGAGGCUGGGAUGGAUUUCCUCUCUCCGUUCCCCUGUUUCCAUGGGAACAGCAGCACACAGGAACAGCCUGCUCUGAAUUUCACUGCCUCUUUCUCAGGCACCCCCUUCCCAAUCCUGCAGGCAGCUUUUGGCUCCCAAAGGGUGUCAGAGCCAUCCUCCGUGCUGAUUCCUGUGCUGCUAAGGAGAACUCAGUGUGGUGUGCACCGUGGCACGACCCAUUCCAGCCAAGGUGUCUGCAGCAGCACUGAACACUAUUACACGCACACUAGCAGACAUCUGCAGAUCAUCUGCAUGCAUAUAUGCACUUCUGCUGUAUACGGUGAUGGGGACUCCUGGAGGAAGUGACAUCAGCUGGACCAACAGGAGUGUGUGAGAUGAUUGUCCUCCAGGAACAGUUGUUCUCUGUUCACUGUUGUUCUCCCAGAUGUGGGAAAGUCACCCAAAAAGGGUGGAUGGAGGAAAAAAAGAGUGAUACAAGUCUAUAUCUUUGUAUUCAGAUCGUGGUGGCUUUUACUCCAGUGAAUUUGUCCAUUCGCUGUUGAAUUGGUGGUAAAUUUUGACUCUGAUAUUCUGCUUGCACGCUGGCAAGGAGUUCCCAACAGCACCACGGACUGCAGGGAGCUGCUUGCUGUGGUUUGCCUAGGAUUAAACCUUGGGAUGGCGACUGCCACCAACCCUAUGGAGCCAUCCAUGCGAUACAUCUCCUAUCAGUGGGUUCUGCAGCUACCAGUGAUGCAGAAGGAUGCUUUUUUUUUUGUAUUGAAUGUCUUGGAUUCUGGCCCUGGCAGAACAGCCUCUGCAGCUCAGAGACAACACUGCUAAGCACAGCCCCAGCUUUGCUAUUUCUGAGUCGGGAUGUCACAAAGAAGUUCUGUGCCCUGCUCUGUCUCAACUGAAAUGUGUGAGCUCUCAGCCAUCGAAAGAGGCACAUGGCAGGUUUCUGUGCUCAGAAGGGAAUGCUACGUGCUGCAAAGAGCACAGGGUUCCCCCAGAGAAUAAGGCGAUAUGAUGUGUAGGUCCUUUCCACCCCGCUCACCUUCCUGCAGGCUGGCAGUCAGCUGCAUAUGAAGGAGGGUGCCUGGUUGAAAGGGAGGGUAGGAGGGAUGUUACCUUCUUCCCAGGUUACUCCUUCUGUGCACCCUUUCCUCUGAAGUGAAAACGCUGGGGGUUUGGGGAUGCUCCAGCAGAAGGUGGUGUUGGAGAGCAGUGCAUUUCUUGUAUAGGGACGUUUCUGGUUGUUGGGAGAAGCAGGAAAUCUCUCAAGAAGACACGGCAACUGAAGCAAUAUCCCUAGUGGGACACUGGCAGGUUCGUUCUCCGGAUACCCCAUAUCUGUCACUCUGCAGAGACAUUCCUAUCUGUUCCAGGCAGAUAUAAAGCUCUGGGUCAUACUGGCAGCGUUCUCCAUUCAUUUUCCAUAACAUGUCAAGCCAGAAAACUUCUCACACCUCCAUCUCUGGCACUGCCAGGAAAAAGGGAGCAUGGGUGCGGGGACGUGCUUUUUGCUCCAGUUAAAUGCAGCCCUUUGCUGCUGCUCUUCAGCCUUACGGACAGCUCUGCAGCCAUUCACCUCUUCAAGCAUUGCGUUCCCAGGAGAUGUGUGCCAUCACUGAGAUUUCCCUUGGUCACAGCCAGGCUGCUGGGAGGAGGAGAGCAUAUUUCUACCUUUUUCACCUCUUUUUUCUUUUGCUGUGGAGAGGAAACCCACUGAAGCCUGCAGUGCUCUUUGCAGCUGGCCGAACUGCCAACCUGUGGGCCAUCUGCCACCCCUUUCCUACAUCUGCCACCUCCCUUGGGAGGGCUCUGCAGCCCGCAGCGACACGCACGCCAAUGAACACGCGGCGAGGCAUUCCCAACCAUCUGCACAGAGGUGAACGGAGCCCUGCUGCUGCACUCACAGAUCCGACAGCAGUCCAGUGAGAAGGAUCCACUUCAGAGGGAAAUGCAAGCCAGAGACAUGACCGGAGAAACCAAACCAGAAAGUGAGCGUGGGAGGACGGCUGGAGGUUAUCGAUGCCAGCACAGACUUCCUCUGCCUGCUGCCCGUGCCAUCACACUCCAAACCCUCUCUUCCCAUCUCCUUGGAGGCACUUUGGGGGCAGCGUGCAUGCAGUAGGGCUGCAGAUGCAAGCCUGGCUGAGCAACACUCAGAGAGCGAUGCAAACCUGCAGCAGCUGCAGCCGGAGGGGAAAUCCUCGGCACGCUGCAUGCGGCUCUGAGCCCACGUGCCCGGCGCCACCCAGGUGAGCUCCCUGCAGAUGUGGAAACAAGCAGGUCCUUCCCCUCCUGCUGGGAGCAGCAGGAAGGUGUGCGCCUUGCAGGUGAG